Molecule: transfer RNA, 72 nt
Filed under: Camelus ferus (Wild Bactrian camel)
Lineage: Eukaryota; Metazoa; Chordata; Mammalia; Artiodactyla; Camelidae
Rfam family: tRNA
About the family: Transfer RNA (tRNA) molecules are approximately 80 nucleotides in length.
Source: Rfam by way of RNAcentral
GAGGGUAUAGUUCAGUGGUAGAGUGCGUGCUUAGCAUGCACGAGGUCCUGGAAUCAAUCCCCAGUACUUCCA